CCUACGGGCGGCUUCAGUGAGGAAUAUUGGUCAAUGGACGAGAGUCUGAACCAGCCAAGUAGCGUGAAGGAUGACUGCCCUAUGGGUUGUAAACUUCUUUUAUAUGGGAAUAAAAUGUUCCACGUGUGGGAUUUUGUAUGUACUAUAUGAAUAAGGAUCGGCUAACUCCGUGCCAGCAGCCGCGGUAAUACGGAGGAUCCGAGCGUUAUCCGGAUUUAUUGGGUUUAAAGGGAGCGUAGGUGGAUUGUUAAGUCAGUUGUGAAAGUUUGCGGCUCAACCGUAAAAUUGCAGUUGAAACUGGCAGUCUUGAGUACAGUAGAGGUGGGCGGAAUUCGUGGUGUAGCGGUGAAAUGCUUAGAUAUCACGAAGAACUCCGAUUGCGAAGGCAGUUCACUGGACUGCAACUGACACUGAGGCUCGAAAGUGUGGGUAUCAAACAGGAUUAGAUACCCGAGUAGUC
RNAcentral lists this ribosomal RNA (460 nucleotides) under uncultured bacterium. RNAcentral describes it as "partial 16S ribosomal RNA". It matches the Rfam family "Bacterial small subunit ribosomal RNA", at positions 338 to 795 of the family's 1533-position model. The record is from RNAcentral.